Molecule: unclassified non-coding RNA, 3589 nt
Filed under: Portunus trituberculatus (swimming crab)
Lineage: Eukaryota; Metazoa; Arthropoda; Malacostraca; Decapoda; Portunidae
Description: delta(24)-sterol reductase-like, transcript variant X1
Source: RNAcentral
UUAGUUAAAUUUUUGUAUAUAAGCAGUUUUCAGGUGAUAUUGUAAAAAAUCUAAAGAGUAUUUUAAGUCUUUUUUUCGUGACAUCUAUGGUAAAUAGUCAACGCCCCGUAAUUCCACACUGGUGUACAUACAUAGGGCAACUUUCCGCGACCACUGCUUACCAUCUCAAGUCCCAUAACAAUGAAAGCAAUCAUUUCUUCUGAUUUUACCAGGAGGCUCUAGUAAUCCCGCCUCUGCCCUGAUAUGCAUGCUUGCUUGCACCGUAGUGGAACCAUGGGGCAUUCUGGAGAAGCUUUGGCCUCGCAUCUGAGCCCAGCAAGAUCUAUCUAAAAAAUAUUUUUACAUUUCCACAAGAUCCGGCCGGCUUUCAACAUCCAACCCAGAAUCGUUCCUAGUAUAAUGAUAUUGUCACGCGCCACUGUCCUCCGAGGCGAGCUACUACUCGUAUAAUCAAAGCGGAUCUACGGAAAAUACCUAGCACGUCUGUUACAGUAUUUCAGUCACAGAAUCUUCCAGAACUUCAAGGCAAGGUAUAUAUAUAAAAAAAGGAAAAAUAAUUUUUGACAUUAAUAGAUCCUGGCAAAUCACUAUGUGCUAAUGAAGAUAUACAUUGCAAGACACCGAAGCAUUGCUAUGAUCUCGAUCAAUGGUUGUACUGUGUACCUAAACUUAUAUUUAGGUCUAAAUAAACAUUAAAGAAUGGAUGAUCAAAACCAUACAAAAGACAAUUGUUCACACACACACACACACACACACACAUGGAUGAGAAUCAGCAGUGGUGCAUGGAAAAUUACCCUUUGGUGAGAGAAAGUAUUAAGAGAUACGAGAGAUGGAGAAAGAUGGUAAGGGCCUAUGCACAUGCUUCGAUCACGUUUAUUUAUUUAUUUUUUUAUUUAUAAGUUUAAGUUACCAACAUAUAUAAGAAAUGAAUAUGUUGAUUACAUGAAUAUGUGUGAUGAUGCUUACCUAGAGUUACUGGCCCACAUUUUGAAAUACCUUACCUAAAUAACAAGGCUGUAGGUAGUUAGAUACGUAUAAUGACGUAAUGUUUUCACGGAUGUUUUCGUAGAUAAUGCAUACAAUUUUGAUGAAAUAUGAAUAACCAUAAAAAAAAAACAUCUUAAGAAACCUCAUUAACUAGAUAAACUAUUAUAACUAUGGCAAAAUUAUACGAUUGCUCAGUUGUCAUGUACCGUAAACGACAUUAUACAUGGCAUAGAAAUGAAGACAGAAAUGUUCAUCAGGGUGUGUAAGAAUGAGACUAAACACAUCAGUGGUUAAAGAAUGUGAUAAUAUAAGAGAGAGAGAGAGAGAGAGAGAGACACACACAAACUAGCUGUAUAGUUUGGCGGGCACACGGACUUUGCUCCCUGUAAACUCUCAACCAACCACGAAGAAACGGACGGAUUGAAGUAAUGAUCAAGCUGGAACGUUUAUUGUAGACAUGCUGGAAGAUUCACUAGUGUUGAAUUAAGUGUGAGGAAAGCUGUCAUCUAAAAUUACCUGCAGUUUGGGCCCUGGAAAUCCAGCAGGAACUGACGACACUGGCUGCCGUCGAGGUGAAGUGUGAAGCAUGGGUACCAGCAGCCUGCAGCAGCGUGUGGGUCGGUGGCUGGAGGAGCACCGUGGUGUGAUAGUGGUGCUGGUGGUACUUCCAUUAUCACUCAUUUUCCACUUCCUCAUGGAACUGAGACACUGGAUCUUCCGCAAGUAUGUGUCUGCCCCUGAGAAACAUGAUGAACGGGUCAGGAACAUCCAAAAACAAGUUUUAAGAUGGAAUACACAGCCAAAGGCCAAGAGGAAAUACAUGUGUACAGCUCGACCCAACUGGCAGUCCCUCUCCACCACCUUCUUCAGGAAGGAUUUAUGUCACAAGAUCAGUAUUCCUCUGUAUGAUAUCCUGGAGCUGAAAGAAUCCCGAAUGAGUGUGCGAGUGGAACCCAUGGUUAGUGUGGGUCAGGCCACUGCCUUCCUGGUGCCUCGCGGCUACACGCUGGCUGUCUGCCUGGAAGUGGCCGAAGCAACCUUGGGAGGCUUGGCCAUGGGGGUUGGCAUGACAACAUACUCCCAUAAGGUUGGACUCUAUCAGGAAAGCAUCAUUGCAUAUGAGGUGGUGCUGGCUGAUGGCUCAUUGGUCAGGGUCACAAAGGACAAUGAGUACAGUGACCUCUACUACACGUUGCCUUGGUCACAUGGCACACUGGGCUUCCUUGUGGCCCUUGAGCUGCAGAUUAUAAGAAUCAAGCCCCACUUGAAGCUGGAGUAUAUUCCUGUGAAGGGUCAGAAGCAAUACUGUGACAUGAUGAGGAAGUUAUCUGGGGCCCUUAACAAGAACAACCCAACACCUGACUACGUGGAAGGCACAGUGUUCUCUAAGGAUGAAGCCGUCAUCAUGGUUGGGAACUUUGCUGAUGUUCCAGACAAUGAGAGACACAAGAUUAAUCAUGUCACCAGGUGGUACAAGCCCUGGUUCUACAAACAUGUGGAGAGCUUCCUAAAGCGAGGCCGUGACCAUGAGUAUGUGCCGCUAGAAGACUACUUGCUGCGGCACAACCGUUCAAUCUUCUGGGUGGUUGAAACCAUGAUCCCCUUCGGCAAUAACCCUCUCUUCCGACUCCUAUGUGGGUGGUUACUGCCUCCCAAGAUUGCCUUCCUUAAGUUCACCACCACACCAGGAGUUCGUGCCAUGACUUUCACCAAACAGGUCUUCCAGGAUAUUGUCCUCCCUAUGAACCAGUUAGAAGACCAAAUUGACAUCUGUGAAGAGCUCUUUGACCUCUACCCAGUAUUGAUCUACCCAUGCAGGGUGUACAACCACGGCCCCCACAGGGGACAGCUGAGGCCACCUCGCCCAGAGCAGAUGGUGCCAGGAGCCAAUUAUGGUAUGUUCAAUGAUCUUGGCGUGUAUGGAGUGCCCAAACCAGUGAAGGAGAAGAAAAGGUUUGAUGCUGUGGAUGCCAUGAGAAAGAUGGAAAAAUUCACAGCUGAUGUUGGAGGCUACCCAUUCCUUUAUGCUGACACCUUUAUGACCCGAGAGGAGUUUGAGAAGAUGUUUGACCUGACAGCAUAUGAGCAAGUGCGUCGAAAGUACAGUGCUGAAGGAGCCUUCCCUCAUCUCCAUGAUAAGAUCAAGCCAGAGAUUGAUGUGUUUGCAGUUGGCAAGGAAUACAUUGAUCCUUUGUAGAUGAGAUAAAAAGCCAAUUAAGAGAAAUUAACUUGUGGACUUAAUUACUGCCAGUGUUUGUGAAUAUAUGAGGGCCUCAGAACCAUAGGGGGUUCAAGCACUGCCUCCCCAAUUUUCAAGGCAUUCAUAUCCGCAGAAUUGUACAACCCGACUGCUGAGCAUGCACCCAACACUAAGAGAUGUCUUCUUCCUGACAAAUGUACAGUUCCAGCUCCAUGGGUGCUGCAGGUUUUCCAGGAGAGGAUGCCUGAAACAGAGUAACAGAUAAUGACUGAGUAUCAUUGUGAUUUUUUGGGGAAGAGAUUCAAAAGUUUAUGACUGUUCAGAUUUGUUAUACUACAUAAUUCUGUUGGAUGGUUGUAAACUUGUGACUCUUGCUGUAAAUUAUAUUUGAAUUGAAACCUA